AGUCGAGCGGAGAUGAGGUGCUUGCACCUUAUCUUAGCGGCGGACGGGUGAGUAAUGCUUAGGAAUCUGCCUAUUAGUGGGGGACAACAUUCCGAAAGGAAUGCUAAUACCGCAUACGUCCUACGGGAGAAAGCAGGGGAUCUUCGGACCUUGCGCUAAUAGAUGAGCCUAAGUCGGAUUAGCUAGUUGGUGGGGUAAAGGCCUACCAAGGCGACGAUCUGUAGCGGGUCUGAGAGGAUGAUCCGCCACACUGGGACUGAGACACGGCCCAGACUCCUACGGGAGGCAGCAGUGGGGAAUAUUGGACAAUGGGGGGAACCCUGAUCCAGCCAUGCCGCGUGUGUGAAGAAGGCCUUAUGGUUGUAAAGCACUUUAAGCGAGGAGGAGGCUACUGAGACUAAUACUCUUGGAUAGUGGACGUUACUCGCAGAAUAAGCACCGGCUAACUCUGUGCCAGCAGCCGCGGUAAUACACAGGGUGCGAGCGUUAUCGAUUUACUGGGCGUAAAGCGUGCGUAAGCGGCUUUUUUAGUCGAUGUGAAAUCCCCCAGCUUAACUUGGGAAUUGCAUUCCAUACUGGGAAGCUAGAGUAUGGGAGAGAUGGUAGAAUUUCCCGUGUA
Molecule: ribosomal RNA, 619 nt
Filed under: uncultured bacterium
Lineage: Bacteria
Description: bacterial SSU rRNA
Rfam family: Bacterial small subunit ribosomal RNA
Source: RNAcentral